Molecule: ribosomal RNA, 432 nt
Filed under: uncultured bacterium
Lineage: Bacteria
Description: partial 16S ribosomal RNA
Rfam family: Bacterial small subunit ribosomal RNA
Source: RNAcentral
GCGAACGCUGGCGGCAGGCCUAACACCUGCACGUCGAACGGAUCCUUCGGGAUUAGUGGCGGACGGGUGAGUAACACGUGGGAACGUGCCCUUUGGUUCGGAACAACUCAGGGAAACUUGAGCUAAUACCGGAUGUGCCCUUCGGGGGAAAGAUUUAUCGCCAUUGGAGCGGCCCGCGUCUGAUUAGCUAGUUGGUGAGGUAACGGCCCACCAAGGCGACGAUCAGUAGCUGGUCUGAGAGGAUGAUCAGCCACACUGGGACUGAGACACGGCCCAGACUCCUACGGGAGGCAGCAGUGGGGAAUCUUGCGCAAUGGGCGAAAGCCUGACGCAGCCAUGCCGCGUGAAUGAUGAAGGUCUUAGGAUUGUAAAAUUCUUUCAGCGGGGACGAUAAUGACGGUACCCGCAGAAGAAGCUCCGGCUAACUUCGUG